Podarcis lilfordi (Lilford's wall lizard) is the source of this 78-nucleotide non-coding RNA. Lineage: Eukaryota; Metazoa; Chordata; Lepidosauria; Squamata; Lacertidae. The record is from the annotation of a GenBank genome assembly.
GUCAUUGUCUCACAACUCGUUGGUUAGAGCAUGAGGCUCUUAAUCUCAGAUUCAUGGGUUUGAACCCCACAUUGGGCA